Long non-coding RNA from Papilio xuthus (Asian swallowtail), 229 nucleotides. RefSeq lists it as uncharacterized. Lineage: Eukaryota; Metazoa; Arthropoda; Insecta; Lepidoptera; Papilionidae. The record is from RefSeq and is a predicted model, not a curated record. The transcript is spliced from 2 exons.
UCGUAAAUUGAGUCCCAAAUGUGUCGGACGUGUGAGAGGUUAUCAAAAUGUUUUGGUUUUAUUUCGUUGUUUGUAUAUUUUUUGUCAACGUACAAAGUGAUUGGGGACCUUUCCAGGCGUUGUUGUACUCUGAUUUGAUAACUUGUAACCACAACAAACAAGUAGACCUCGAUAUAAGAGACACUAUGGUAUAUUUCUACGACUUCAAAAACAAUUUAAACGUAAGCUA